Molecule: long non-coding RNA, 1403 nt
Organism: Lagopus muta (rock ptarmigan)
Lineage: Eukaryota; Metazoa; Chordata; Aves; Galliformes; Phasianidae
Exons: 7
Source: RefSeq, a predicted model, not a curated record
UGCUCGGGCAACUUGAACAAAAGGAGAAACUCGGGUGAACUCCGCAUCUCUCCCGGAUUAGCUCAUCUUCGGCAACUUUAUCCGGAUAGAUCGAAGCAACUUUCUCCCAUCUCUCCCGACACUCUUCAAAGCGUUCAGCCCCUCUGUAAGCUCGUGAGGAAACUGGGGUUCGCGGUGUAAAGAAAGCAGAAGGUCAAAAACAUGGCUGUCUGGAGAACGGGAUGCUUGCCAAAACAUCAAUCUGUGCUGGGUGCCAUACUGGUUAUCCUUCCAGUGGUGGAAUACAACUUGGGUCUCCUCAGGAGGUGACUGGCGUGGAACAAACUGUACCACACAUUGAUGGUGUGAAGACCUGAUGUCUUCGUUGUUUGGAUACGUGUGUAAGUUAAUGAGCUGCUGGGAGAAGACGAAGAAGCUUUUGCAGAAACAUGAGGAUAUUGUGGGAAAUGCUGCUGCUAACCAUUUGGAUUAUAUUGCUGCCUGAUGCACAGGUUCUGCAGAUAACAUAAGGAACUCUCCAGAUCUUUUUUGUUGUGGGAUUGCUGAAGCAUUUUCCUGGCACAGCAGUAAUGAUUGAUGAACACACUUCAGGGGCUUGCUUUGUGACCUGGGUUAUGAUCUAUGUCUGCUACUGAAGCUAUCUUGACUGGUGUGAGAAAUGUCUCUCUGCAUAUGCAGAGGUGCAGCACAGCCCCUGGCUCUCAAUACAAUCUUCAGAUGAAGGAGGCAAAAUAACAAUUCCAGGCACUGUAAAGAGGACCUUUUUCUUUGAUGAGGACAUUGCUGGGUUUAACUAGCAGAAGGUAGUGUCUUUAUAUCGUUACAUGAUGCAGAAGGAUUGCUCUUUGCCAGCUGCCAAAUCAAGCAUUGUUGUGCAGUCUCUGCCUUCAGCAACAUCUUCGGUGUUCUGGCAGUGGGACCCUUGAAAGGACAGGGCAAAAGAGACUUCAUGCUGCCCCUGUACUUCAGACUCUGCUCUGGCAAAUUCCUCUAAAUAGUAGGCACGUAAGAAAGGGAGAAGUUGGAUGUGAUCGGUUUGUUUGUGUGCUACAUCAUCCUUCCAGAUGACCUAGUUUAGGAUUCUGAUGAGAUCUGAAGAGCAGAGUAUUGAAAAUGUUUGUGAGAGCCUGUGUGCCAGAACAAUAUGGGGUAAAAUCAUCUUAAUGAGAUGUUAGAUCAUUUGCAGAGUACAUUUCUCGGUAAAUACGGUGAAUUUAUUUUUCUGAAGAGGACCACAAUAGGCCUCUCACAGGAUUGCACUUUCAUAAAGCUGGAAAAAAAAUAAGUAGUGGUUUUGACUCUUCUAAAGCUUGUGCAGGAGCAAUUUUUGGUUGCACAUCUAUGGUUUUAGCCAUCCUUUUUACGCAGUUUGUUAUUACCAGUCUGCCCCAGAUUCACAUGUA